This 467-nucleotide ribosomal RNA is filed under the name uncultured bacterium. RNAcentral describes it as "partial 16S ribosomal RNA". It matches the Rfam family "Bacterial small subunit ribosomal RNA", at positions 28 to 507 of the family's 1533-position model. The record is from RNAcentral.
GAUGAACGCUGGCGGCGCGCCUAACACAUGCAAGUCGAACGAUUAAAGCACCUUCGGGUGUGUAUAAAGUGGCGAACGGCUGAGUAACACGUGGGCAACCUGCCCCCUUCAUUGGGAUAGCCACGGGAAACCGUGGAUAAUACCGAAUACUUCGAGACUUCCGCAUGGAAGACUCGAGAAAGCUCCGGCGGAGAGGGAUGGGCCCGCGGCCUGUUAGCUUGUUGGUGGGGUAACGGCCUACCAAGGCAAUGAUGGGUAGCUGGGUUGAGAGACCGACCAGCCAGAUUGGGACUGAGACACGGCCCAGACUCCUACGGGAGGCAGCAGUGGGGAAUCUUGCACAAUGGGCGAAAGCCUGAUGCAGCGACGCCGCGUGCGGGAUGAAGGCCUUCGGGUUGUAAACCGCUUUCAGCAGGGACGAGGCGAAAGUGACGGUACCUGCAGAAGAAGCCCCGACUAACUACGUG